GUCGGAGUGAUGGAAUUGGCAUACAUAUCGGCUUCAAGUACCGAGUUUUGUGGGUUCAAGUCCCACCUCCGACA
This 74-nucleotide transfer RNA is filed under the name Caudoviricetes sp. RNAcentral describes it as "tRNA-Leu". It matches the Rfam family "tRNA". Rfam says of the family: Transfer RNA (tRNA) molecules are approximately 80 nucleotides in length. Their secondary structure includes four short double-helical elements and three loops (D, anti-codon, and T loops). The record is from RNAcentral. Lineage: Duplodnaviria; Heunggongvirae; Uroviricota; Caudoviricetes.